Molecule: ribosomal RNA, 253 nt
Filed under: uncultured bacterium
Lineage: Bacteria
Description: partial 16S ribosomal RNA
Rfam family: Bacterial small subunit ribosomal RNA
Source: RNAcentral
UACAGAGGUCUCAAGCGUUGUUCGGAUUCAUUGGGCGUAAAGGGUGCGCAGGUGGUCGGGUAAGUCUGAUGUGAAAUCCCGCAGCUCAACUGCGGAAUGGCAUUGGAUACUAUUUGGCUAGAGGGUUGGAGGGGGGACUGGAAUUCUCGGUGUAGCAGUGAAAUGCGUAGAUAUCGAGAGGAACACCAGUGGCGAAGGCGAGUCCCUGGACAACUCCUGACGCUGAGGCACGAAAGCUAGGGGAGCAAACAGG